UACCCCCGGUAGUCCCAGCCGUAAACUAUGCGCGUUAGGUGUACUGGUGACCACGAGUCACCGGGGUGCCGAAGGGAAACCGUGAAACGUGCCGCCUGGGAAGUACGGUCGCAAGGCUAGAAACUUAAAGGAAUUGGGCGGGGGAGCACCACAACGGGUGGAGCCUGCGGUUUAAUUGGACUCAACGCCGGAAAUCUCACCGGAUAGGACAGACAUAUGAUAGUCGGGCUGAAGACUCUACUUGAUGAUCUG
RNAcentral lists this ribosomal RNA (252 nucleotides) under uncultured archaeon. RNAcentral's name for it is "partial 16S ribosomal RNA". It matches the Rfam family "Archaeal small subunit ribosomal RNA", at positions 733 to 982 of the family's 1478-position model. The record is from RNAcentral.